AGCAGUCGCCACGGUAAUACGGAGGGUGCAAGCGUUAAUCGGAAUUACUGGGCGUAAAGCGCACGCAGGCGGUUUGUUAAGUCAGAUGUGAAAUCCCCGAGCUUAACUUGGGAACUGCAUUUGAAACUGGCAAGCUAGAGUCUUGUAGAGGGGGGUAGAAUUCCAGGUGUAGCGGUGAAAUGCGUAGAGAUCUGGAGGAAUACCGAUGGCGAAGGCAGCCCCCUGGGAUAACACUGACGCUCAUGCACGAAAGCGUGGGGAGCAAACAGGAUUAGAUACCCGAGUAGUCCCUGUCUCUUAUAC
This 303-nucleotide ribosomal RNA is filed under the name uncultured bacterium. RNAcentral's name for it is "partial 16S ribosomal RNA". It matches the Rfam family "Bacterial small subunit ribosomal RNA", at positions 507 to 807 of the family's 1533-position model. The record is from RNAcentral.